RNAcentral lists this ribosomal RNA (550 nucleotides) under uncultured eukaryote. RNAcentral's name for it is "SSU rRNA". It matches the Rfam family "Eukaryotic small subunit ribosomal RNA", at positions 637 to 1210 of the family's 1831-position model. The record is from RNAcentral.
AAUUUCUGAUUAUGGAUGUAGCGGUUCCGUUACAUUUGUAGUCAUCCACAUGAGAACCUUUCUCGGCCUUCACUUGGUCGGUUGGGGGAUCAUGUACUUUACUUUGAAAAAAUCAGAGUGUUUCAGGCAGGCGUUUGCAUGAAUACACAAGCAUGGAAUAAUGGAAUAGGACUAGGGUCCUAUUUUAUUGGUUAUUGGACCAUAGUAAUGAUUAAUAGGGACAGUUGGGGGCAUUAGUAUUUAAUUGUCAGAGGUGAAAUUCUUGGAUUUAUUAAAGACUAACUUAUGCGAAAGCAUUUGCCAAGGAUGUUUUCAUUAAUCAAGAACGAAAGUUAGGGGAUCAAAGACGAUCAGAUACCGUCCUAGUCUUAACUAUAAACUAUACCGACUAGGGAUUGGUUGGGUCAUUAGAGCCCAAUCAGCACCUUACGAGAAAUCAGGAGUAUUCGGGUUCCGGGGGGAGUAUGGUCGCAAGGCCGAAACUUAAAGGAAUUGACGGAAGGGCACCACCAGGAGUGGAAUCUGCGGCUUAAUUUGAUUCAACACGGGC